GAGGUGGAGAGGCGGCGUGGCUGCUGCAGGUGCGAGCCAGCGGCCGGGAGCCAGUCCCCCUCCCGCUCUGGCGGCCCGGGGCUGGCCGGGGCCACGUCCUCCUCGGUUGUCACGUCUUCCUGGUCGAAGGCUUCUGAGUCUCUGGGGCUUUUCUCUGGCCUGGGCCCCUUAAUCCAGAGUUCAAGGCCAUCAGCCAUCCAAGGAAGCCACACCCCAAGGCAUGCGCCCAACUGGAGAUUCUGUGCCCAGGGUCGAGCUGAGACUGUUCCCUGCCCCCAUCCCUCGAAGCUCCCCACUUCCCGGCGGGCAGAGAACAAGGUCAAGAGGCGGAGCCUGGCUCUCUCCAAGUAUCCCAGCUACUUCUGGCCUGCAUUUCCCCCGCCCUCUCCAGCCCCCCACUAGCUGGAGGUGCUAAGUUUCUCCUCCCCCUCCCCUCCCCUUCCUUUGGAGCUUUGUGGCUUCCAAAGAGUCCUUUCGCUUCUCUGAACUGCUGAUUCUCCUUCUUGGAGGAGCUGUCAACUUCAUAGGAUUGCUGUGAGAGUAAAAUUUAGAGAUGGGUG
Long non-coding RNA from Peromyscus californicus insignis, 560 nucleotides. RefSeq lists it as uncharacterized. The transcript is spliced from 2 exons. NCBI's taxonomy places the organism in Eukaryota, Metazoa, Chordata, Mammalia, Rodentia, Cricetidae. The record is from RefSeq and is a predicted model, not a curated record.